RNAcentral lists this ribosomal RNA (416 nucleotides) under uncultured microorganism. Its description in RNAcentral is "bacterial SSU rRNA". It matches the Rfam family "Bacterial small subunit ribosomal RNA", at positions 9 to 424 of the family's 1533-position model. The record is from RNAcentral.
GAGUUUGAUCGUGGCUCAGAUUGAACGCUGGCGGCAUGCCUUACACAUGCAAGUCGAACGGCAGCAUGAUCUAGCUUGCUAGAUUGAUGGCGAGUGGCGAACGGGUGAGUAAUACAUCGGAACGUGCCCUGUAGUGGGGGAUAACUAGUCGAAGGAUUAGCUAAUACCGCGUACGACCUGAGGGUGAAAGUGGGGGACCGCAAGGCCUCAUGCUAUAGGAGCGGCCGAUGUCUGAUUAGCUAGUUGGUGGGUAAAGGCCCACCAAGGCGACGAUCAGUAGCUGGUCUGAGAGGACGAUCAGCCACACUGGGACUGAGACACGGCCCAGACUCCUACGGGAGGCAGCAGUGGGGAAUUUUGGACAAUGGGCGAAAGCCUGAUCCAGCAAUGCCGCGUGUGUGAAGAAGGCCUCGGUU